This 339-nucleotide ribosomal RNA is filed under the name Triticum aestivum (bread wheat). RNAcentral's name for it is "partial small subunit ribosomal RNA". The record is from RNAcentral. Lineage: Eukaryota; Viridiplantae; Streptophyta; Magnoliopsida; Poales; Poaceae.
AUGCGACGCAACACUCCUCGUCGGGACCGGUGUUGCAAUGCGGAGCUCGUUGACGUCGCCGGCGGCUGCUAUGCAGCACUCGCGAACGUUGUGCUGCCACGCGGUUGCGAUGCAACGUUCGCCGCUGUCGCCGACGCUGGGAUGUGGCGGCCGCCGUCGGCUGCCGGUGCUGCAACGCAGCCUCGCCGACGCUACCAUGUAGCACUUCGAGACGCUGCAGUGCUAUGCGGUUGUGAUGCAGCGUCCGCCGGGACGUGGCGGCCGUCGUUGGCCGCCGCCGCUGCUAUGCAGCACUUUGCGACGCGUUGCUAUGCAUCACGUCAGCGGUUGCCGAUGUAG